This 1025-nucleotide long non-coding RNA is filed under the name Bemisia tabaci. Its description in RNAcentral is "lncRNA ENSSSA2NGG003155". The record is from RNAcentral. Lineage: Eukaryota; Metazoa; Arthropoda; Insecta; Hemiptera; Aleyrodidae.
UCCCUCUGACUUCCCUUCCCGGAGGCUGCCUCACAUUCAGCCCGCGCACAUUUUGGACCUUUUUGACCGUUUGCUUUGAAUCGGUCGUGUUAUGACUUAUGAGUAACAGCAGCCUCCUCGCGUCAACUGAAACCUAAGUGACGCCUCAUUCACAUCUUAUCUUUCGGGCAACGCAUUUUGUGACCCACUCUCUCCGUUCUCGCUCGCUCCCUCGCACCUGAUCCCCCGCUCUGCUCCUGGUCCACGCCUCUACGUUCGCCGGCAUCUCUUUACUCACUUUUCCCCCUCAUAUUGCUCUUGUUUUUCCUCGAUCUCGGAUCGAUCGAAUGUCACCUGUUUCUUAGCCGUCGCCUUUGCCUGUCGAUCGCCACCACUGCAUUAUGUGCUUAUCUGCUGCACGUUGGCGUGCCGCUGCGCCACCGGCCGCCGACCGCCGGCCGAGUCUCUCCUCUCUUAUCUCUCUCUGACUUCCCUCCUUGGGGUUCACCUCACAUUCGGUCCAGCGUACAUUUUGACUAUUAUUUGCUUGAAACUGGUUAUCGCGUCAACCAAAACCUAAUUGGCAAACAUCACACAUCUUUUUCGGGCAAGGAAUUCUACGGCGCGCCCAGCCCCCAUCCGCCCCCCUCCCCCGCUCCUCGGUCUCUCUUCAUUUACCUAGUUUUCCUUGUUGUCGAUUGUCUUUGUCCGUCGAUUGCCAAUUUGCCAUCGCCACACUAUUCACCGGUCUCCACUCAGAUUUUUAUUCACUAUUACUUUUUCCAUUCCUUCCGUCUCUCUCAUACAAAUGAACACUCGCCGCGUUGGCUGAUCCAGCAUGUUUCGAUUACCUUAACCGCUUUUGCUACCUCGUCCAAUGAUGCCGAAGUUUUGCUGAUAAUAUUUUCAGCACUUUAGUUUUCAUUUUAAUUUAAUAUUACAUUCUCUAACAGCAAGAGGGGUAUCCUUCAUUGGCGUAUCAUGUCUGGAACUCCGUAGCCCCCCCCCCCCCUCCGUAUGGUAUCAUUGAAAAAGUCGUCUUACAG